UGGGGAAUAUUAGGCAAUGGGGGAAACCCUGACCUAGCCAUGCCGCGUGCGUGAAGAAGGUCUUAGGAUUGUAAAGCGCUUUCAGCGGGGAAGAUGAUGACGGUACCCGCAGAAGAAGCCCCGGCUAACUCCGUGCCAGCAGCCGCGGUAAUACGGAGGGGGUUAGCGUUGUUCGGAAUUACUGGGCGUAAAGCGCACGUAGGCGGACCAGAAAGUUGGGGGUGAAAUCCCGGGGGCUCAACCCCGGAACUGCCUCCAAAACUAUUGGUCUAGAGUUCGAGAGAGGUGAGUGGAAUUCCAAGUGUAGAGGUGAAAUUCGUAGAUAUUUGGAGGAACACCAGUGGCGAAGGCGGCUCACUGGCUCGAUACUGACGCUGAGGUGCGAAAGUGUGGGGAGCAAACAGGAUUAGAUACCCUGGUAGUCCACACCGUAAAACGAUGAAUGCCAGUCGUCGGGUAGCAUGCUAUUCGGUGACACACCUAACGGAUUAAGCAUUCCGCCUGGGGAGUACGGUCGCAAGAUUAAAA
RNAcentral lists this ribosomal RNA (528 nucleotides) under uncultured bacterium. RNAcentral describes it as "bacterial SSU rRNA". It matches the Rfam family "Bacterial small subunit ribosomal RNA", at positions 355 to 899 of the family's 1533-position model. The record is from RNAcentral.